CCACCGCGGUUAUACGAGAGGCCCAAGUUGUUAGUCCUCGGCGUAAAGAGUGGUUAGGAACAGCCCAGAUACUAAAGCCAAACACCUUCAAAGCUGUUAUACGCUCUCGAAGACAAGAAGUUCAACAACGAAAGUGGCUUUAAAUUUUCCGAACCCACGAAAGCUAUGGUACAAACUGGGAUUAGAUACCCCACUAUGCCUAGCCGUAAACAUUGACAGCAAGCUACAUAUGCUGUCCGCCCGGGAACUACGAGCAUUAGCUUAAAACCCAAAGGACUUGGCGGUGCUUUAGAUCCACCUAGAGGAGCCUGUUCUAGAACCGAUAACCCCCGUUCAACCUCACCCUUCCUUGUUUCUCCCGCCUAUAUACCACCGCCGUCAGCUUACCCUGUGAAGGUCUAACAGUAAGCAAAAUUGGCACAGCCCAAAACGUCAGGUCGAGGUGUAGCGUAUGGAAGGGGAAGAAAUGGGCUACAUUCCCUCCCCCAGGGAAUUACGGACGAUGCAUUGAAAUAUGCAUCCGAAGGAGGAUUUAGCAGUAAGUGAAAAAUAGAGUGUCUCACUGAAAUUGGCCCUGAAGCGCGCACACACCGCCCGUCACUCUCCCCGAGCUACCACACAGCCCCUUAAUUUAAACCAUUAAAACUGCAAAGGGGAGGCAAGUCGUAACAUGGUAAGUG
This 680-nucleotide ribosomal RNA is filed under the name Mola mola (ocean sunfish). RNAcentral's name for it is "partial 12S small subunit ribosomal RNA". It matches the Rfam family "Bacterial small subunit ribosomal RNA", at positions 512 to 1502 of the family's 1533-position model. The record is from RNAcentral. Lineage: Eukaryota; Metazoa; Chordata; Actinopteri; Tetraodontiformes; Molidae.